Molecule: long non-coding RNA, 3162 nt
Organism: Papio anubis (olive baboon)
Lineage: Eukaryota; Metazoa; Chordata; Mammalia; Primates; Cercopithecidae
Source: Ensembl
GAAGGCAGAGUGCAAAAAGGGGAAAUACAUGGUGAGGGGCCCAGGCAGGUCUGAUGUGGUGUAGCCCAACAUGCAGGGGAGCUGUGGCCUAAUGAAAGCCGAGAGCUGUUUCUACUCAGCUUCCUUGAAGUGCUUCCUUUGCGGUCCUUGGUCCAAAAGGAGAUGGCCUUGACUCCCACCUACCUCUGCUUUGAAAACGUAAACCUAAGGGGUUCCUGCAUGGCCCAGAUUUUUGGUUUUCUUUCUUUUGAUGCCAAGCAUGAUAAAAUAAAUGGUAAACGAACUCUGGUUUCUUUAUGAGGCUCGCCUAUUCAGGUUGGGACAAGCAGUGUAUGGAAUACUCCACCCGCCCCUCCGAAGCACCAUCUCCACCCUUAGCAGAGGCCUCGGGACUGCUUCAGAGCACUGUUCAUGUUCAAGUUAUUGAAAUUCCAUGUGACCCUGACUUUGGACCCCUUUGGCCUAUGAAACCUCCAUUACUUUUAAGCCACUCUUACACUUGAGGUAAGUUUGUAAUUUGGGGAGUGUUUAUGGCAUUUAAUUAGGUCUGUACCGUACCAGGAAGAUAUUCAAGGUUCUUUGAGGCCACUAAGUCAAAGAUGUUUAUAGAAGGUUAGAGUUUGAAAGAUUCUUAGAAAUUCCUGAAUUUAGUAGCUUGGCUUUUAACUUAUUUGGGAUGAGUGCAGAACAGGUUUUAUUAAAUAAAUUCCUGUGCAGGACACCAAUUAAAGCAAUUGAUAAAAGUGCAGUUAUGCUCAUUGCAGUGGAGGGAGGGAAGAGAAUCCCUGAGAUACCUCUGAGAUCUGAAACACCUUUGAAGACCACAUUUGUCUAAUUUACUUUUCGCCUAUUAGGAGAGGAUGACAAGACAGUUCUAUCUUAUGGUAUGGUAUCCUGGGUACAGUAUCAGCUUCACCCCAGAGCUUGUUAGAAAUUCAAAUUCUUGGACUCACCCCAGACCUACUGGAGGCGGAAUCCAGGAGUCUCUGCUUUAACAAUUACUCCAGAUGAUUCCGAUGCACGCUCACCCAAGUUUGAGAACCAGUCCCCCAAGGGCUUUUCAGUGAAUAUUUCAAGCUCAUUUAAUACAAUGCAGCUUCAAUAGAUGGCAAGGAUAGCCCUUUACACAUCCCAAGGAGUUUCUGCGGUACACACCCUGUCUUGGGAGUGGUUCUUUUCCAUUCAAUACACUUUAGUAGCAUUGCAGGGAACUCUGUCUAUCGUACAUUGGAAACAAUUCAAACGGUGGUUCUUCUAGACAAAUGGCUCCGAGUCAAGAGAUUUUGAUCCCCACAAUAGAUUGUUUUAAUGGAUUUGGCCAGUAGCCAAACUGUUGCAAUGGAAUUACACCCCCAAAAUAUGCUAUUCUUAAGAAAUUAUUUGUCCUUAGAAAAAUAAUGAACUUAAAGAGUGAUUUUCAGUUUUCAAACAUGUUUUGCAUGUAGUAUCUUCUCGUGUGAUAAUGCUGCCAUCCUAAUCCUGACACCCCUACAUAACUUUCCCUUCCUAUAUUUAGGAGUACAAAAUCAAGAACGGAAGGGUUAGGUAAAUUUUCCUAGAUCACAUACAGAGAUAGUUGCAGAAUGAAUAUUGAAAUCCAGUUCUCCUUGGUACGUAGUUCACUGUUUUUUUUUUUUUCUGAUGAAUAUAUUAGGCCAUUUCCUGAGACGUGAAUUUACAACCAGAUCAGUUACCUCUAUGGAACUUUAUUUUUUCUCUCUUUUCUUUUGUUGAUAAUUGGGCGUAAUAAACUUCAUAAACCCUAAAAUUGUUGAAUUCCCAGUUUGAUGAUUAGUUAGGGAGCGUCCUGCCCUAUCCCAGUAACAGGUGAGGUGUGAGGUGUUAUAACUAAGGCAACUAUUCCCUUCUGAUCCUAUUGGUGGGCAUCUGUUUCUAGUUGUAACUGGCCAAACAUUCCCUUUGCAGGAAAACUAAUAACAUCUUAACAUAUGGUCUUGAAUGUGAGCCGCCAAAUGACCUUGCAUGGAGAUUAAUUGAAGGUGUUAAUGGCAUAGUUCCCAGCCAGGAAUGUCAAAAUACUGGCUUGGUCUUCUAUGUACAUGUUUUAAGAGGAUUUGCUAUUGAUACUGAACUGGAUUAACUUUAAAUAUAAAGAAAAAUACUAUAACUUCAGCAACCACCUGGGAAGCAAGUUUCUGUAGCAAAGAAAUCUGGAUUAGUGCUCCAAGCAGGGUGCAGGAUAAUGAAUUUGACAUCCCUUAGGACUCCCUUGAAAAAAUUCCCAUGAUACAAUCUUCUUAAGUGGGGGUAAUAUAGGGAGCAAAAUUCUGUUGAGGAUAAAAAAUCUAUUGUAUGACCUUCUCUAAGACUCUGCUGGAAAAUGCCAUUAGAGAUUAGAGUUGACUUAUGGGUGUUCUCUCCUACUGCCCCCUUCCCUCCCACCUCACCCAGACAGGAGGAAUAGGCCAAAGACCAGUGAAAAGAACUGUACAUGGAAUUGCAUUUCCUCACAUAUUUACUUAGAAAUACGUUCAACUUUUAGGACGCUUAUUCAAGGUUGGUUGUCAUAAUUAUCUCAUGACUUAAUCCUGGUAUAAUCUCCCAUUCUCUCUAUGGGUUCCUUUUUUUAAAAUUUCUAUUUUACUACCCUAGUGCUUGAGUUCUUCUGCAUGUGUGUAUGUUUAUUAUAAUUCACCUUAAGGCUGCUUGUGGGAUAUAGAUUAUAAAGACAUAAAAGUAAACAUGGAAUAAUCUCCUUUCACGCAUAUAUUUGCAAACCCAUAAACUCUAAGGAAGAGUGAAUUAGAUUUUUAAAACAUUGAAAAUUAUGUUUACUAAGCCUUUUUUUUGCCCAGUUUAUACAGCUAUUUUGGCCAAAGGGGUCAUAUAAAUAUGUCAACUGCUGCUGGCACAACUGACUAGAAAGUAAAAACUAUUAACUCAAAUACAGCACCACCAAUCCAAUAAUGACUUAGAGAAGAGAUCCUUGAAAUUACAAUUUCGUAUCAUUUUUAGGAACUACUCAGUGUCUAGUUCUUUGAGUAUUGCUCUUUGCUCUUGCAACAUCGCCUACAUACACAUCUCAAUCUUCUAUAUUAUUAUAUAGUAUUUGUGUAUAUUUUCAUUUGUUCUGAAAAACUGUGAGCCCCCUGAGGGUAGACCUGUGUUUCAUUUAUCUUUUUAAUACCUAAUGUUUUCUGC